UUCAGGCCCGUAGGAACACAUGCUUUAAUAAUUAUAGUCGGAAUUCAGUUUUUAAUUAAAAAUAAAAACAAAAAGCAUGGAGCUUCCGGCCUACAGCGGUGACGUCACACUCUCCUGUUACAGAACCAAAUAAAUAAAUCAGCAAAUAAAUACAUCCCACCGGAAAAGAAAUUAGAGCGCUAUGAAAAGAAAACAAAGAAAUGGUAAAAAAUAAAACAGAAAUAAAGUUAGUAAGUGCUGUGUUUUAUGUACAAAUUUCACAUCGAUGCACACAGAGGGACUCGACCAGGAGGUGGUUUCAUGCAUUGACAAAUAAAAAACCCCACCGCCCUCCCCACCACAUCGGUUCCCUUUAAAAAGGUAAAGACGGUAACAAAGUAUUCACAUUUUCACUGAAUAAAGCAAAAAUCAAUGCACAUGAUGGAAGGAGUUGGUCUAAGUACAGGUUGUUAUGGCCACUAGUCCACUUUGUUCAUUCACAUUCACGUCUUAUUUACACUGGCGCCUCAUUGCAGUCAAAAAAAGGUGCUUUUUUCAGGUAUUUAGCCCCAGUGCUUCAAAAAAAGAAAAAAAAAACAGGUCUAGAAAGAGAUCUCCUCAGAAGAAACUGAGCUAAAAGCCGACACACAAUGGCUAACGAGUAAAACAUGUCCCAAAAUAGUGAAUUUAGAGGAAAUAAGCAGCAAGAAACACAAAUCUAUUGUGCCUAAAAUUGGCCCUAAAUGUCCAUUUCUGCUGCAAAAUAUGAGUUCCAACAACAGAGAACAGGUUUUAAAGGAAGAAUAGAAAUGUUUAUGGUUAUAAUUUCAGAAAAAGCUUCUAACUUUCAAGACUCUAACGUCUUUAGUGAUUAUUUUGGUUUUCUCAUGUUGCUAUUAAAGUGAGCCACCGUGCAAACUGGCCAGCUAGGCUAACUCCCCAGCUAGCGUUAUAACAAAAAUGUCCAUUUACGUUUAAAAUGUAAGUUCCAACAACCAGCUAGGCUAACUACCCAGCUAGCUUUUUAACAAAAAAAUCCAUUUCUGCGUAAAAUAUAAGCUCCAACAAACAGCUAGACUAAGUAGCUGGCUAGCUUUUUAACAAAAACGUCAAUUUCUGUUUAAUAUUGAUUCCAACAGCAGUGUAUAUGGUUUUCCAAAUGGGAUAGAAAUUUUUUUGGUCAUAUUGUGGAAAAAGUCUAUCUUUUCUUUUCUUACAGUGUUCAGCUUUUAGAAAACGUCAUGGUGCAACUAAGCUUGACUUGGAAAACAAAAGCUAGCCAGCUACGCUAACUAGCUUAUACUCGGAAUUCAGCAGCUACCUAACAGACUCCACAUGUUGUAGUUAGCAAUUAACAUUAGCGUUAUUAGCAUUAACAUUGUCAAGCACCAAAAACUCUGUUUGCUAAUUACUAUUUCACCCAUUUUAGGUCAUAACAAACCUCACAGAUCUAUC
Molecule: long non-coding RNA, 1434 nt
Organism: Amphiprion ocellaris (clown anemonefish)
Lineage: Eukaryota; Metazoa; Chordata; Actinopteri; Pomacentridae
Source: Ensembl